Molecule: long non-coding RNA, 221 nt
Organism: Thalassophryne amazonica
Lineage: Eukaryota; Metazoa; Chordata; Actinopteri; Batrachoidiformes; Batrachoididae
Exons: 3
Source: RefSeq, a predicted model, not a curated record
UCCAAACAUUCCAACAAAAACCAAAGUCGGAUUGAGGGAGUUUCUCACCCAUCUGCUCUACGAUAUCUGGAGGAAACACUCUGGAGGCAAAAGCUCGACGGAAAAUGUCCGAGAAUUCCUUGUCCAGACCUCCAAUGCCCAUCUUCUCAAAGUUCCAGUCUGGGUUGAUGAUCGUCUGCCGGGCCUCUUUGGUCUUUGCCUUACCUACGAGUGUCAGUGAC